Molecule: ribosomal RNA, 301 nt
Filed under: uncultured bacterium
Lineage: Bacteria
Description: partial 16S ribosomal RNA
Rfam family: Bacterial small subunit ribosomal RNA
Source: RNAcentral
CAGCAGCCGCGGGAAAACGUAGGGUGCAAGCGUUAAUCGGAAUUACUGGGCGUAAAGCGUGCGCAGGCGGUUUGUUAAGACAGAUGUGAAAUCCCCGGGCUCAACCUGGGAACUGCAUUUGUGACUGGCAAGCUAGAGUGUGGCAGAGGGGGGUGGAAUUCCGCGUGUAGCAGUGAAAUGCGUAGAUAUGCGGAGGAACACCGAUGGCGAAGGCAGCCCCCUGGGCCAACACUGACGCUCAUGCACGAAAGCGUGGGGAGCAAACAGGAUUAGAUACCCCCGUAGUCCCUGUCUCUUAUAA